CUUGCUGCAGCAGGGAAUAAGGAUGAUUAGCACGGGUUUUCACAUAGUAGUCAGUGAAUCUAUAUCUAAAGCGUUUAUCAAACUUCUUCAGGAUCUUACGCAGACCAAUAGCAUUUAUCUCAACAAAAAAAGAGAAGCUUUAACAAAUCUUGCCCCGCUGCUCUAUAAGCUUCUCGUAAUUGGGUUAUUUGAGAUAUAUC
Molecule: unclassified non-coding RNA, 200 nt
Filed under: Hevea brasiliensis (rubber tree)
Lineage: Eukaryota; Viridiplantae; Streptophyta; Magnoliopsida; Malpighiales; Euphorbiaceae
Source: RNAcentral